ACCCGUUAGCUACUUAGUGCUGUGUGACAACGUUACCGCAAAGUGAUUGGCUUAAAACAACACGUGUGGCCGGGCGCGGUGGCUCAAGCCUGUAAUCCCAGCACUUUGGGAGGCCGAGACGGGCGGAUCACGAGGUCAGGAGAUCGAGACCAUCCUGGCUAAUAUGGUGAAACCCCGUCUCUACUAAAAAUACAAAAAACUAGCCGGGCGAGGUGGCGGGCGCAGGAGAAUGGCGUAAACCCGGGAGGCGGAGCUUGCAGUGAGCUGAGAUCCGGCCACUGCACUCCAGCCUGGGCGACAAAGCGAGACUCCGUCUCAAAAAAAAAAAACAAAAAAAACAAAAAAAAAACACGCGUUUAUUGUCUCAGUUUUCUGGGGUCGGGCACAGCUUAGCAGGGUCUUCAUCUUCGGGGUCUCAGAGGCAGCCAUCGGGGUGUCGGCUGCAUCUUCGGUCUCAUCUGCAGACUUGGCUGGGCUGGGAGGGAUCCCCUCCCCCGUGUUCGUGGUCAUUGGCAGAAUCCAGUUCCUGGUGUUUGUGGGACUGAGGGUCUCCAUCUCUUGCAGGCUGCGUCAGCCUUUGCUGCCUUUGCUGAGACCUUCGCUGAAGCCCCUUCACCAUACAGAUGAGAAGCCGAGGCUAAUGGGGGUAAAGCAGCAUGCUCCAGGCUGUGAAGACAGGAAGAGGCAGAGUCGGCCUGUGUCUAGGCCCGGCCGCUCCUGGGCAGGGGUCCUCCUGCUCUCCUACCUCACUGGAUUUCCCAAGCUCAGCCUGGCGGGGUCUGGCAGAGGCUGGCAGGGCCUGGCAGGGAUUAUGAGGUGUGUCCGAGUCUCCUGGCAACGGGGAUCGCACCCAGGCUGGCCCAGCACCUUUGCCCCGCAAGCCGGGGAGCGGUGCCAUUGCUCCAGGAAGUCCCCCGGCCUGAGACUUUCCCAAACUCUACCCAGACCCAGUGCCCAGAGGCUGGAGGAGCAUAUCUCCCUCCGUGCAUGGCGCCACACUCACUCUGGGAUGAUUCCAGGUCGUACUGGAACACCUGCUUCAUUUCUCACCCUGAGGUGGAUGCAGGAAGGAGAGAGAAAGACACCGGUACAGAGUCCUGCUUUGGAUGGGCUGAUCAUGCCGGUGUAAAGAAAGGACCGAGAUCCUGCUGCAAGGAACCACCCUCCCCAGUGUGGCUGUCCCCAAAGGAAAGGGGCUGGGUGGGGAACAUCCCCUGGGAGUACCACAGGGCCUUAUGAUGAGAAGAGCUCAGCCUCUGGAGCCACCAACUUGGGUUCAAAUCCAAACUAAGCCCGGGGUCAGGUCCCCUCCAGGAGCCUGUGUGCUUGUGAGUCAGGGUGGUUGGGGUGAGGUCACCAUGUCGCACAGUUUGGGAAGGUUGAAGAGGGUCAAUGAUGCAAAGCACCAGCAUGUGGCAGACACUGGAGUCAGCCCCUUACUACUGGGGGCCAUUUCUUUUAGGGGCUCCAGUGCCUUGUCUGCGACAGGGAGGAGAGGUCUGCAUGGUGCAGAUAUGGACACCCAAUGCCCCCGGGAGGAAGGGGCUCCUUCCCUCGGGCUCCCAGGGGGACAAUGGAAGUUGCAGAUGGCUGAGCCUGCACCGUAGCAGGGAUACCAUGGGGCGGACACUCUGAAGUCAACUCCGACACGGUUAUAUCCCAUCUUUAGAAGAGACAGGCAGUGGGGAC
Molecule: long non-coding RNA, 1689 nt
Organism: Macaca mulatta (Rhesus monkey)
Lineage: Eukaryota; Metazoa; Chordata; Mammalia; Primates; Cercopithecidae
Source: Ensembl